RNAcentral lists this ribosomal RNA (253 nucleotides) under uncultured bacterium. RNAcentral describes it as "partial 16S ribosomal RNA". It matches the Rfam family "Bacterial small subunit ribosomal RNA", at positions 524 to 776 of the family's 1533-position model. The record is from RNAcentral.
UACGUAGGGGGCAAGCGUUGUCCGGAAUCAUUGGGCGUAAAGAGCGUGUAGGCGGCCAGAUAAGUCCGCUGUGAAAUCUCGAGGCUCAACUUCGAGCUGUCGGUGGAAACUGUCUGGCUAGAGUCCGGAAGAGGAGAAUGGAAUUCCUGGUGUAGCGGUGAAAUGCGCAGAUAUCAGGAAGAACACCCGUGGCGGAGGCGGUUCUCUGGGACGGUACUGACGCUGAGACGCGAAAGCGUGGGGAGCGAACAGG